CGAUAGCGAACAAGUACCGAGAGGGAAAGUUGCAAAGUACUUUGAAGAGAGAGUUCAAGAGGACGUGAAACCGAUAGGAUGGAAGCAGAUGAAGUUGACGAACGUGUGUCGUAUUCAAAAUCGCUAUUAGCGGUUUGUUUUUACGGCCGAUGUGGGCUGGUGGCUUUGGUCAAUGCAACGCGUCUAGCGUCGAUGGUGACCCUGUGGAGGGAUAAUCAGUUGGUGUACGGUGCUUGGUAUGGCUAAGGUUUCGCCGGUCUAAAAGUCAGCGCCUCAUCUGACCCGUCUUGAAACACGGACCAAGGAGUGUAGCGUUUGUGCAAGUCUUAGAGUGUAUCGAAACUUUGAGGCGCAACGAAAGUAAAUGCAGUUUAAUCUGCUGACUUGGGAUGCGUUGUCUCUUGUAGACGGCGCUGGACCAAGGUUUUAUCGCGAUCGCUUGCGGUGCGGUGAAAAUAGAGCGUAAACGGUGCGACCCGAAAGAUGGUGAACUAUGCCUGAGCAGGAAGACUGGAG
RNAcentral lists this ribosomal RNA (516 nucleotides) under Steinernema hebeiense. Its description in RNAcentral is "LSU rRNA". It matches the Rfam family "Eukaryotic large subunit ribosomal RNA", at positions 335 to 855 of the family's 3401-position model. Lineage: Eukaryota; Metazoa; Nematoda; Chromadorea; Rhabditida; Steinernematidae. The record is from RNAcentral.